This 274-nucleotide ribosomal RNA is filed under the name uncultured bacterium. RNAcentral describes it as "partial 16S ribosomal RNA". It matches the Rfam family "Bacterial small subunit ribosomal RNA", at positions 523 to 796 of the family's 1533-position model. The record is from RNAcentral.
AUACGGAGGGUGCAAGCGUUAAUCGGAAUUACUGGGCGUAAAGGGCGCGCAGGCGGUUUGAUUAGUCAGAUGUGAAAGCCCACGGCUUAACCGUGGGAGUGCAUUUGAAACUGUCAGACUUGAGUACCAGAGGGGGUAGUGGAAUUCCCGGUGUAGAGGUGAAAUUCGUAGAUAUCGGGAGGAAUACCGGUGGCGAAGGCGACUACCUGGCUGGAUACUGACGCUGAGGCGCGAAAGCGUGGGGAGCAAACAGGAUUAGAAACCCGAGUAGUCC